RNAcentral lists this ribosomal RNA (622 nucleotides) under Sphingomonas sp. F33. Its description in RNAcentral is "bacterial SSU rRNA". It matches the Rfam family "Bacterial small subunit ribosomal RNA", at positions 88 to 745 of the family's 1533-position model. The record is from RNAcentral. Lineage: Bacteria; Pseudomonadati; Pseudomonadota; Alphaproteobacteria; Sphingomonadales; Sphingomonadaceae.
GGGUCUAGUGGCGCACGGGUGCGUAACGCGUGGGAAUCUGCCCUUUGCUUCGGAAUAACAGUUAGAAAUGACUGCUAAUACCGGAUGAUGUCGCAAGACCAAAGAUUUAUCGGGAAAGGAUGAGCCCGCGUAGGAUUAUGUAGUUGGUGGGGUAAAGGCCUACCGAGGCGACGAUCCUUAGCUGGUCUGAGAGGAUGAUCGGCCGCACUGGGACUGAGACACGGCCCAGACUCAUACGGGAGGCAGCAGUGGGGAAUAUUGGACAAUGGGCGAAAGCCUGAUCCAGCAAUGCCGCGUGAGUGAUGAAGGCCUUAGGGUUGUAAAGCUCUUUUACCAGGGAUGAUAAUGACAGUACCUGGAGAAUAAGCUCCGGCUAACUCCGUGCCAGCAGCCGCGGUAAUACGGAGGGAGCUAGCGUUGUUCGGAAUUACUGGGCGUAAAGCGCACGUAGGCGGUUCAUCAAGUCAGGGGUGAAAGCCCGGAGCUCAACUCCGGAACUGCCCUUGAAACUAGUGGACUUGAAUCUUGGAGAGGCGGGUGGAAUUCCGAGUGUAGAGGUGAAAUUCGUAGAUAUUCGGAAGAACACCAGUGGCGAAGGCGGCCCGCUGGACAAGUAUUGACG